UUUUUUUCUUUUUUUUUUUUUUUGUUGUUGUUGUUAUUGUUGAGUUUGAUGAGUUGUUGGUAUAUUUUGGAGAUUAAGCUCUGCCAGUUGCAUUGUUUGCAACCAUUUUUUCCCAUUCCAUAGGUUGCCUUUGAUUUUUUUAUGGUUUUAUUUGCUGUGCAAAGUCUUGUAAGUUUGAUUAGGGCCCAUUGGUUUAUUUUUGUUUUUAUUUCUAUUGCCUUUGGAGACUGACAAGAAAACAUUUGUACGGUUGAUGUCAGAGAAUGUUUUAUCAAUGUUCUCCUCUAGGAGUUUUAGGGCGACUUGUUUUAUGUUUAAGUUUUUAAGCCAUUUUAAAUUUAUUUUUGUGCAUGUUCUGAGUAUGUGUUCUAGUUUCAUUGAUUUACAUGCAGCUGUCCAGUUUUGCCAGAACCACUUGCUGAAGAGACUGCCUUUUUUUCCUCUUUUAUAUUCUUGCCUCCUGUGUCAAAGAUUAAUUGACCAUAGGUGUCUGGGUUUAUUUCUGGGUUCUCCUUCUUUUCCAUUGGUCUGUAUGUCUGUUUUGUACCAGUACCACACUGUCUUGAUUACUCUAGCUUUGUAAUAUUUUCUGAAGUCUAAGACAGCUGUGCCUCCUGCUUGUCUCCCCCAACCCCCUACUGCCCCCCCCCAGGAUUGCUUUGGCAUUUCUGUGUCCUUUAUGGUUCCAUAUAAAUUUUUGGAUUUUUGGAUCUAGUUCUGUGAAAAAUUUUAUGGGUAAUUUGAUAGGGAUUUCAUUAAAUCUCUAGAUUGCUUUGGGAAGUAUGGCCAUUUUAACAAUGUUAAAUUCCUCCAAUCCAGGAUCAUGAGAUAUCUUUCCAUUUCUUUGAAUCCUCUUUAAUUUCAUAGAUUAAUAAGUUAUAUGUCUCAGCAUAUAAGUCUUUCACCUGCUUGGCCAUGUUUAUCCCUAGGUAUUUAAUUUUUUGUGGUGACAUUUAAAAGAUACUUUCAUAUUCCUUUUCUAAAAUCUUAUUGUUAGUAUACAGAAAUGCAACUGUUUUCUGGAUAUUAAUCCUGAAUCCUGCUAUUUUGCUGAAUUCAUUGAUAAGUUUGAGUAGUUUUUGUGUGGAGUCCUUUGGGUUUUCUAUAUAUAGUAUCAUGUUAUCUGCAUAGAUUGACAAUUUUACUUCCUCUCUUCCAAUUUACCUUUUAUUUCUUUUGUUUGUUUGAUUUCUGUGGCUAGAACUUCCAAUACAAUGUUGAAGAAAAUUUGGGAGAGUGGACAUCCUUGCCUUGUUCCAGAUUCUUUCAGCUUUUCUCCCUUGAUUAUUACAUUGGCUGUAGGUUCGUCGUAAAUGUCUUUUAUUAUGUUAAGAUGUGUUCCCUCUAUACCCCUUUGGUAAGAGUUUUGAUCAUGAAUGGAUGAUGGAUGUUGGAUUUUUUGUCAAAUGCUUUUUCUGCGUCUAUUGAGAUGAUCAUGUGGUUUUUGACUUUUAUUAAUAUGGGGUAUGAUGUUGAUUGAUUUGUGUAUGUCAAACCAUCCCUAUGAACUUGGGGUGAAUCCCACUUGGUCAUGGUGUAUGACCUUUUUUAUGUGUUUUUCAAUUCGGUUGGCUAAAAAGUUAAUUGAGAAUUUUUGUGUCUAUAUUCAUCGAAAAUGUUGGAAUAUAAUUUUCUUUUAUGUAAUAUCUUUGUGUGGUUUUGGUAUUAGUAUGGUGGUGGCUUCAUAAAAUAUCUUUGGGAGUGUUCCUUCCUCUUUAACCUUUUGGAAAAGUUUAAGAAAGAUGGGUGUAAGUUCUUUGUGUGUUUGGUAGAAUUCGCCUGUGAGGCCAUCUGGCCCUAGACUUUUGUUUGUAAGGGGUAUUUUUAUUAUACAUUCAAUUUCAUUUCUAGCAAUGUAUCAGUUUAAAUGAUCUAUUUCUCUUUGAUUCAGUUUCAGUGGGCUGUAUGUCUCUAGAAAGUUUUCCAUUUGUUCUAGGUUGUCAAAUUUGUUGGCAUAUAGUUUUUCAUGGUAUUCUUUUAUGGUUUUUAUAUUUCUGUAGUAUAUAUUGCAAUUUCUCCUUUUUCAUUUCUUAUUUUGUUUAUUUGGGUUCUCUGUCUCUCAUAUUCUUAGUGAGUUUGGACAGAGGUUUGUCCAUUAUGUUUACUCUUUCGAAGAACCAGCUUUUGGUUUUAUUGAUUUUUUUUCUAUUUUUAAUCUCUAUUUUACUGAUUUCCUCUCAUGUUUAUGAUUUCCUUCCUUCUGCUGACUUAAAUUUUGUUUAUUCUUCUUUUUCUAAUUCUUUUUGGUGGUAUACCAAGUUAUUGCAUUGAGAUUGUUGUUCUUUUUUGAGGAAGGCCUGUAUCUCUAUGAACUUUCCUCUAAGAACUGCUUUUGCAGCAUCCCAUAGAUUUUGAGUGGUUGUGUAUUCAUUGUCAUUUGUCUCAAGUAUUUUUUAAUUUUCCUUUUGAUUUCCUUGUUGACCCAUUGGUUUUUUAGUAGCAUGUUUUUUAGUCUCCAAGUAAUUAGUUUUUUCUCAUUUAUUUUCCUGUGGUUAAUUUCUAGUUUCAUGCCAUUGUGGUCAGAAAAAAUAUGCUUGAAAUAAUUUCUAUAUUCUUAAAUUUGUUGAGUUAUUUUUGGUCCCCCGAAUGUGAUCAGUCCUUGAGAAUGUUCCAUGUGCACUUGAAAAGAAAGUAUAUCCUGAUUUUUUAAAUGUAAUGUCCUUAAAAUAUCAAUGAAGUCUAACUUUUCUAUUGUAUCAUUUAGGAUCUUUGUUGCUCUAUUGGUUUUCUGUCCAUGGAUGUGAGUGGAGUGUUAAAAAUUUCCUGCUAUUAUUUUAUUCCCAUCAAUUUCUCCACUUAUGUCUGUUA
RNAcentral lists this long non-coding RNA (2808 nucleotides) under Sus scrofa (pig). RNAcentral describes it as "lncRNA (ENSSSCG00005014547.1)". Lineage: Eukaryota; Metazoa; Chordata; Mammalia; Artiodactyla; Suidae. The record is from RNAcentral.